RNAcentral lists this ribosomal RNA (497 nucleotides) under uncultured bacterium. RNAcentral describes it as "partial 16S ribosomal RNA". It matches the Rfam family "Bacterial small subunit ribosomal RNA", at positions 28 to 507 of the family's 1533-position model. The record is from RNAcentral.
GAUGAACGCUGGCGGCGUGCCUAAUACAUGCAAGUCGAGCGAACAGACGAGGAGCUUGCUCCUCUGACGUUAGCGGCGGACGGGUGAGUAACACGUGGAUAACCUACCUAUAAGACUGGGAUAACUUCGGGAAACCGGAGCUAAUACCGGAUAAUAUAUUGAACCGCAUGGUUCAAUAGUGAAAGACGGUUUUGCUGUAACUUAUAGAUGGAUCCGCGUCGCAUUAGCAAGUUGGUAAGGUAACGGCUUACCAAGGCAACGAUGCAUAGCCGACCUGAGAGGGUGAUCGGCCACACUGGAACUGAGACACGGUCCAGACUCCUACGGGAGGCGGCAGUAGGGAAUCUUCCGCAAUGGGCGAAAGCCUGACGGAGCAACGCCGCGUGAGGGAUGAAGGUCUUCGGAUCGUAAAACUCUGUUAUUAGGGAAGAACAAAUGUGUAAGUAACUAUGCACGUCUUGACGGUACCUAAUCAGAAAGCCACGGCUAACUACGUG